UUUGGGCCAUAUCGAAGCCUGCAAUGUCGGUUCAAAUGCUGCUUGCUGGUCAAUAACUGGCAUAUAUUGAAUGUGUUAUAAUGGUCGCAGCUCAGUUUGUACGUACUGAGAUCUGCAUUACCCAAUAAGACGACAUUU
Small nucleolar RNA from Daphnia carinata, 138 nucleotides. Lineage: Eukaryota; Metazoa; Arthropoda; Branchiopoda; Diplostraca; Daphniidae. The record is from RefSeq and is a predicted model, not a curated record.